AACUUUAAAGAUGGACGCCCCUCCAGAGAGGAGAGGCCACACCAGAAGAGUUCAAAUGUUACCAGGUCUGUACAGAAUAAUCAAACAGAGCUGAUCAAGAGGGCUGAGGAGAACGCACACGCUUUUCUAGACAAGGAGAUGAAGAAGCUCUGGAGGGAUCUCUUCUCAGAUUACCCACAAUGCUCAGAAAGUCAGAGGGAGGAGGAGGAGUUGGGUGGUAAGAAUGAGGAGCAGAAGAGGCGUGCCAUAGAGGGAGUGGUGGACAUCACAAAGCUCUGCCUGAUGGAGAUGAACCAGGAGGAACUGGCCGAGAAACUGUGGGGCGGUAAGAGACUCUAUUUUUUAAUUGCAGAAGAGACUCUUAUCCUGAAGACAGAAUGAAUAAUUAUUUCAAAGAGCAGUAUGAGACUCUUAUUUGUUCUGUUCAGACUAAAUGACAUGCUGUAAUAUUUUUCACAUUCCUAUGAAGGGUUAUUGUGGGGCAUCAGGUUAAAUGGAUUGAUCCAGAUAUAUUGGGUUAAUGUGGGUGUAUAAGGUU
Long non-coding RNA from Gadus morhua (Atlantic cod), 538 nucleotides. RefSeq lists it as uncharacterized. NCBI's taxonomy places the organism in Eukaryota, Metazoa, Chordata, Actinopteri, Gadiformes, Gadidae. The record is from RefSeq and is a predicted model, not a curated record. The transcript is spliced from 3 exons.